GACGAACGCUGGCGGCGUGCUUAACACAUGCAAGUCGAACGAGGGCUCAGAGCUUGCUCUGAUGACCCGAGUGGCGAACGGGUGAGUAACACGUGACCAACCUGUCCUAGGGGUGAGGGACAACCCGGGGAAAACCUGGGCUAAUACCGCAUGAUGUCUCGUUAAUCACAUGUUAAUGAGAUCAAAGAGGGCCUCUGCUUGCAUGCUCUCGCCCAAGGAGGGGGUCGCGACGUAUCAGUUUGUUGGUGGGGUGAUGGCCUACCAAGACUACGACGCGUAGCGGAUCUGAGAGGAUGAUCCGUCACAUUGGGACUGAGAUACGGCCCAG
RNAcentral lists this ribosomal RNA (328 nucleotides) under uncultured bacterium. Its description in RNAcentral is "bacterial SSU rRNA". It matches the Rfam family "Bacterial small subunit ribosomal RNA", at positions 28 to 334 of the family's 1533-position model. The record is from RNAcentral.